Molecule: long non-coding RNA, 1160 nt
Filed under: Medicago truncatula (barrel medic)
Lineage: Eukaryota; Viridiplantae; Streptophyta; Magnoliopsida; Fabales; Fabaceae
Description: long non-coding RNA (MTRU_LNC007152)
Source: RNAcentral
GAGGUUCGAAAUAAACCAAAAUAUAUAAAUCAUAUUGCAUACAAUACAUUUAAGUCGUAAUAAACCAAAAACGAAUCGUUCAAAAUUUAAACUACAUAAUAUAUAAACUAACAUACCUAUAGAUGCACUUUACACUUUCUGAGUGAAAUUAACAAAAGAAAUUAACAAAAUAUACAUUAUCACAGGUUCUACUGUCACAGUAUCCUAACACAUCUAAUUACAUCAAAUAUUAUGUAAAUUAUGCAAAGAAGAAAAGUAAUACAGUUUCAUUGUUCUAUUGUCACAAGUUCAUUAUAAAAAAUUAUGUAAAAUAUUAUCACAGGUUCUACUGUCACAGUAGCCUAACACAUCUUUGUUUCAUUGUUUUAGAACUACUAAAGUUUCCAUUGCUUUCUGCUUAUUAUUCUCUUUUAAGAAAAAAGUUUUGCAUCAGAUAGCAUGAAAAACAAAUUGAAACAAUAAAAUAGUCUUCAGUUGUUAUUUGUUAACAAAUUUAGAUGAGAAAACAAUGUAGUACUGUUAUCACUUUGCAUCGCUGGAUAUUACAAGCUUAUGGCAUCAAUUUGAUAGAAAAGAAUGAGUAAUUUUAAUAACACUAAAAACAACACAAUCCCACUGCAAAUAACCCUAAAAACAACAGAUGGAAGGAAAAAUCAUUGCAAUCAACUAAAAAACAUAUGUAAUCAUCAAAUCAGAAUCAGAAUUGAAGACAAUUACAUUCAAUUUCACAUUAACUUACAAGUUACAACAAUUAGGGUUUGUUGUGGAGAGAGAUGUCUCUAAACUGAAGAAUCGAAACAGAAGAUGGAGGAGUAUGCAGCAGUGAUGGAUGGAGAAGGAGGAGAGUGGUCGCGGCUCACCAGCGGUGGUGUGGUGGUGGAUGUAAUGUUUGGUCGCUUGCUUUGGUUGGGAGAAGAAUAGAGAUCGCAUUCUCAGAUGAAAGAGAAAGGGUUCGAUCAGCUUAUGCGUUUUUUUUUUUUUUUUGGUGAAGGGAUCAGCUUAUGCGUUUUUUUUUUUGGAUAUUGUUUUUUUAUAAUUUUUCUUUUUAUUCUUUUUUUUUAGUUUUUAUUAAAUAAUAGAGUUUGUUUUUUUUUUUAAAAGCAAAUUGUUUUUUUUUUCAAAGGGCUGUUGGGUAUUUGGUUUUUAGAACGAUAUUUUUU